RNAcentral lists this ribosomal RNA (505 nucleotides) under uncultured bacterium. RNAcentral describes it as "partial 16S ribosomal RNA". It matches the Rfam family "Bacterial small subunit ribosomal RNA", at positions 28 to 507 of the family's 1533-position model. The record is from RNAcentral.
GACGAACGCUGGCGGCGUGCCUAAUACAUGCAAGUAGAACGCACAGUUUAUACCGUAGCUUGCUACACCAUAGACUGUGAGUUGCGAACGGGUGAGUAACGCGUAGGUAACCUGCCUGGUAGCGGGGGAUAACUAUUGGAAACGAUAGCUAAUACCGCAUAAUAUUAAUUAUUGCAUGAUAAUUGAUUGAAAGAUGCAACUGCAUCACUACCAGAUGGACCUGCGUUGUAUUAGCUAGUAGGUGAGGUAACGGCUCACCUAGGCGACGAUACAUAGCCGACCUGAGAGGGUGAUCGGCCAAACUGGGACUGGGACACGGCCCAGACUACUACGGGAGGCAGCAGUAGGGAAUCUUCGGCAAUGGACGAAAGUCUGACCGAGCAACGCCGCGUGAGUGAAGAAGGUUUUCGGAUCGUAAAGCUCUGUUGUAAGAGAAGAACGGGUGUGAGAGUGGAAAGUUCACACUGUGACGGUAUCUUACCAGAAAGGGACGGCUAACUACGUG